Etheostoma spectabile (orangethroat darter) is the source of this 911-nucleotide long non-coding RNA. RefSeq lists it as uncharacterized. The transcript has 2 exons. Lineage: Eukaryota; Metazoa; Chordata; Actinopteri; Perciformes; Percidae. The record is from RefSeq and is a predicted model, not a curated record.
AAAUGACAUGCAUACAAAUGUGCAGUGCUGUACCAGAAGUCAGGGCUUGAAAUUGAUGUCUGCCAAAUGUAGAAAAAAAUGUAGUAAUUUAAAUGCAAGUCAAGAAUCGAGAUUCAGUCCUUCAUAACCAUUUCAACGUAAAACCUCUGGCUAUUACAUAACGUCACUGCGAGAUAAAACAAGUGGUAAAAAUGACUUAAGUCACGUUCCUUGUUUUAGACCCUUCUCUAAACUGCCCUUCUCUAAACUGCUCUGGUAGACUACUGUGGCACACAAAAUGGCUGACUAAAAGGAGACCAGACCAGACCGGCUUCUUCAAAUAGGAAAUAAAUACUGUUGUCAGGGAGGUGCAGAGACUGCAAAGAGGAAAUAAAUCACUGCACAAGUAUGCUGUCAGAGGCAGAUGAUGUCAACUUUGUAAGUUGUAUUUAUGUUUGUAGUGGUAAUAAAAAUCCAGUCAUCAAUUUCUUCCAUGCGUAGCGAUGAGCAUUUUAUUUUCAAAUACAAUGAUUUGCACUGUUUCUUCAGUCAUGUGUGGAGUUACUGAAAGGGUUGCACAAUACAUUUUCGUAAAAAUGCAGGUCAAGCAUAAGUGAUUAAUGGGGCAUUUAAUGACUGUUGGGUACAAUUACACACCAUUUUGUAUACCAAACUAAUUGAUAUCAAAUUGUUAUUUGGUAUCAAUUGCAGUGUGUGGAUACUGGUGAAAACAUACUGACAAAUAGAGAGAGAGAGAGAGAGAGGUGUGUGAAGCUGACGGCCUUAAUUAGCUUUGUAGCAACUCAUUUGGCAAUGGCUUAAAUGUAACGGACGCUCAUUAAUAUCAAAAAGAUACACACUAAAGGCUAUAAAUGGAUACAUUUGAUGAAUAGCAUUUUGGCUAGUGAAAAUUCAAAGUGGUUGUUGAUUUU